CGAAAGACGGGUGAGAAUCCCGUCCACCGAUUGACUAAGGUUUCCAGAGGAAGGCUCGUCCGCUCUGGGUUAGUCGGGUCCUAAGCUGAGGCCGAUAGGCGUAGGCGAUGGAUAACAGGUUGAUAUUCCUGUACCACCUAUAAUCGUUUUAAUCGAUGGGGGGACGCAGUAGGAUAGGCGAAGCGUGCGAUUGGAUUGCACGUCUAAGCAGUAAGGCUGAGUAUUAGGCAAAUCCGGUACUCGUUAAGGCUGAGCUGUGAUGGGGAGAAGACAUUGAGUCUUCGAGUCGUUGAUUUCACACUGCCGAGAAAAGCCUCUAGAUAGAAAAUAGGUGCCCGUACCGCAAACCGACACAGGUAGUCAAGAUGAGAAUUCUAAGGUGAGCGAGCGAACUCUCGUUAAGGAACUCGGCAAAAUGACCCCGUAACUUCGGGAGAAGGGGUGCUCUUUAGGGUUAACGCCCAGAAGAGCCGCAGUGAAUAGGCCCAAGCGACUGUUUAUCAAAAACACAGGUCUCUGCUAAACCGUAAGGUGAUGUAUAGGGGCUGACGCCUGCCCGGUGCUGGAAGGUUAAGAGGAGUGGUUAGCUUCUGCGAAGCUACGAAUCGAAGCCCCAGUAAACGGCGGCCGUAACUAUAACGGUCCUAAGGUAGCGAAAUUCCUUGUCGGGUAAGUUCCGACCCGCACGAAAGGCGUAACGAUUUGGGCACUGUCUCAACGAGAGACUCGGUGAAAUCAUAGUACCUGUGAAGAUGCAGGUUACCCGCGACAGGACGGAAAGACCCCGUGGAGCUUUACUGUAGCCUGAUAUUGAAAUUCGGCACAGCUUGUACAGGAUAGGUAGGAGCCUUUGAAACGUGAGCGCUAGCUUACGUGGAGGCGCUGGUGGGAUACUACCCUAGCUGUGUUGGCUUUCUAACCCGCACCACUUAUCGUGGUGGGAGACAGUGUCAGGCGGGCAGUUUGACUGGGGCGGUCGCCUCCUAAAAGGUAACGGAGGCGCUCAAAGGUUCCCUCAGAAUGGUUGGAAAUCAUUCAUAGAGUGUAAAGGCAUAAGGGAGCUUGACUGCGAGACCUACAAGUCGAGCAGGGUCGAAAGACGGACUUAGUGAUCCGGUGGUUCCGCAUGGAAGGGCCAUCGCUCAACGGAUAAAAGCUACCCCGGGGAUAACAGGCUUAUCUCCCCCAAGAGUUCACAUCGACGGGGAGGUUUGGCACCUCGAUGUCGGCUCAUCGCAUCCUGGGGCUGUAGUCGGUCCCAAGGGUUGGGCUGUUCGCCCAUUAAAGCGGUACGCGAGCUGGGUUCAGAACGUCGUGAGACAGUUCGGUCCCUAUCCGUCGUGGGCGUAGGAAAUUUGAGAGGAGCUGUCCUUAGUACGAGAGGACCGGGAUGGACAUACCUCUGGUGUACCAGUUGUCGUGCCAACGGCAUAGCUGGGUAGCUAUGUGUGGACGGGAUAAGUGCUGAAAGCAUCUAAGCAUGAAGCCCCCCUCAAGAUGAGAUUUCCCAACUUCGGUUAUAAGAUCCCUCAAAGAUGAUGAGGUUAAUAGGUUCGAGGUGGAAGCAUGGUGACAUGUGGAGCUGACGAAUACUAAUCGAUCGAAGACUUAAUCAA
RNAcentral lists this ribosomal RNA (1616 nucleotides) under Staphylococcus aureus DAR5821. RNAcentral's name for it is "bacterial LSU rRNA". It matches the Rfam family "Bacterial large subunit ribosomal RNA", at positions 1310 to 2925 of the family's 2925-position model. Lineage: Bacteria; Bacillati; Bacillota; Bacilli; Caryophanales; Staphylococcaceae. The record is from RNAcentral.